CAAUGUGUCAUUCAAAGCCACUCUUUCUUUAUUGAUAUUCUGUUUGGAGGAUCCAUCCUUUGAUGUAUUGCUGCUGAUGGUAUGAUUUUCUGCUGCCAAAAGAACUGACACACAUGACAGAGUCAAAGAGGAAACAAAAUGGCUGCAACUAUUCCAGGCUUGAAGACCAUCCCAGGCUAUCCAGAAAGAAAGAGUGCUGACAUGUCAGCGUGCCACGUGAGAAUGCUAACACUCACCUUGAUUGGACUGGUUUGGGUCAUGUGUUUACUUCUAAGCCUUUCUAUGUCCAGGGGGAUUAAAUAUGCCAUUCAGGGCACAACCUUGAAGUUGAGCUGGAUGUUAUUCACCUUCCUCUAAAGCACACAGGCUGUGAGUGAGGUAUAUGCUCCAAUAAAAUCCUGGAUACCAUUUGGAAGAGAGGAAGAGAGAAUAAGGGCUAAUACAGCCUAAAAUGUGUGGUUUGGGGUAAGUUACUUCCC
This is a long non-coding RNA of Mustela erminea (ermine), 479 nucleotides long. RefSeq lists it as uncharacterized. The record is from RefSeq and is a predicted model, not a curated record. Lineage: Eukaryota; Metazoa; Chordata; Mammalia; Carnivora; Mustelidae. The transcript is spliced from 3 exons.